RNAcentral lists this ribosomal RNA (97 nucleotides) under Danio rerio (zebrafish). The record is from RNAcentral. Lineage: Eukaryota; Metazoa; Chordata; Actinopteri; Cypriniformes; Danionidae.
UGCCACAGCCAUAUCACCCUGCCAAGACCAGUUACUCACUGAGCCUGGUCAGUACCUGGAUGGGAGACCACAUGGGAAAACUAGGUUGCUGUUGGAA